Molecule: ribosomal RNA, 352 nt
Filed under: Dolichousnea longissima
Lineage: Eukaryota; Fungi; Ascomycota; Lecanoromycetes; Lecanorales; Parmeliaceae
Description: SSU rRNA
Rfam family: Bacterial small subunit ribosomal RNA
Source: RNAcentral
UGUAUAGCAAUAGCUACUGCAUCAGCAAUGAUGUGGGAUCGACUCUGUCGUGUAAAGUUCUAGUCAGAAUUGUGAUAAUGACACUGUCUGGCUAUGUGCCUUGACCAAAUUACGUGCCAGCAGUCGCGGUAAUACGUAGAAGGCUAGUGUUAUUCAUGUUUAAUCGGUUUAAAGGGUACCUAGACGGCAGAUCAAGCCUUCAAGAAAUGGAUAAAGGGACUAAUCUGCUAGAGUUACUUGCGAAGGGGCAUUAAAGUACUGCUGGUGGAGAGAUGAAAUUCAGUGAUACCUAUCUUCAAAGAAGAACGACGGCACAGGUAAAGGUGAAGGCGUCCCCUUAUGUGAUAACUGA